CCUACGGGGGGCUGCAGUGGGGAAUAUUGGACAAUGGGGGGAACCCUGAUCCAGCCAUGCCGCGUGUGUGAAGAAGGCCCUCGGGUUGUAAAGCACUUUCAGUGAGGAAGAACGCCUGGUGGUUAAUACCCAUCAGGAAAGACAUCACUCACAGAAGAAGCACCGGCUAACUCCGUGCCAGCAGCCGCGGUAAUACGGAGGGUGCGAGCGUUAAUCGGAAUUACUGGGCGUAGAGCGCGCGUAGGUGGCUUGAUAAGCCGGUUGUGAAAGCCCCGGGCUCAACCUGGGAACGGCAUCCGGAACUGUCAAGCUAGAGUGCAGGAGAGGAAGGUAGAAUUCCCGGUGUAGCGGUGAAAUGCGUAGAGAUCGGGAGGAAUACCAGUGGCGAAGGCGGCCUUCUGGACUGACACUGACACUGAGGUGCGAAAGCGUGGGUAGCAAACAGGAUUAGAUACCCCUGUAGUC
This 465-nucleotide ribosomal RNA is filed under the name Vreelandella stevensii. RNAcentral's name for it is "partial 16S ribosomal RNA". It matches the Rfam family "Bacterial small subunit ribosomal RNA", at positions 338 to 795 of the family's 1533-position model. Lineage: Bacteria; Pseudomonadati; Pseudomonadota; Gammaproteobacteria; Oceanospirillales; Halomonadaceae. The record is from RNAcentral.